RNAcentral lists this long non-coding RNA (305 nucleotides) under Elaeis guineensis (African oil palm). Its description in RNAcentral is "long non-coding RNA (EGUI_LNC057615)". The record is from RNAcentral. Lineage: Eukaryota; Viridiplantae; Streptophyta; Magnoliopsida; Arecales; Arecaceae.
AAAGAUUUCAAAUCAAAAUUCUGCCUUCUCUGUAGAUUCGACCCGACUCACUACUUUCUAUAUGUUUUUAAUUUUUAUUAAAGUCAAAAUUUGAUUGAUAAUCAUGGUGUCUUAACGAUAACAUCACGAUCGUAUCAGUAGAUCAUGGAUAAAUCAUCAAACAUCAUCAUCAAUCAUAUGAUAGAUUCGAUUAGCUUAAGUCCAAUUAUGAUCCUCAUAGAAACUUCUUUUCAUUAAUUAUACUACUGUAGCCACAAACUCUCGGACUUAGCCUCUCAAAUUUUAUAGGACUACUCCUCUCUAUC